RNAcentral lists this ribosomal RNA (404 nucleotides) under Actinomycetes bacterium. RNAcentral describes it as "Actinobacteria bacterium partial 16S ribosomal RNA". It matches the Rfam family "Bacterial small subunit ribosomal RNA", at positions 355 to 776 of the family's 1533-position model. The record is from RNAcentral. Lineage: Bacteria; Bacillati; Actinomycetota; Actinomycetes.
UGGGGAAUAUUGGACAAUGGGCGCAAGCCUGAUCCAGCCAUGCCGCGUGAGGGAUGAAGGCCCUAGGGUUUUAAAGCUCUUUCACCGGGGAAAAUAAUGACGGUAACCGGAGAAAAAGACGCGACCAACUUCGUGCCAGCAGCCGCGGUAAUACGAAGGGGGCUAGCGUUGUUCGGAUUUACUGGGCGUAAAGCGCACGUAGGCGGACUUUUAAGUCAGGGGUGAAAUUCCGGGGCUCAACUCGGGAGGUGCUGUUGAUACUGGAAGGCUUGAGUAUGGUAGAGGUGGGUGGAAUUGCGGGUGUAGAGGUGAAAUUCGUAGAUAUUCGGGGGAACACCAGUGGCGAAGGCGGCUCACUAGGGCGUUACUGACGCUGAGGUGCGAAAGUGUGGGGAGCAAACAGG